ACGCUAGCUGACCAUGCAGUCGACGCUGAGCUCCAGCUUGCUGGGGUGGAUGAGUGGCGAACGGGUGAGUAAUACGUGAGUAACCUGCCCUUGACUCUGGGAUAAGCCUGGGAAACCGGGUCUAAUACUGGAUACGACGUCCUACCGCAUGGUGGGGCGUGGAAAGGGUUUUACUGGUUUUGGAUGGGCUCACGGCCUAUCAGCUUGUUGGUGGGGUAAUGGCCUACCAAGGCGACGACGGGUAGCCGGCCUGAGAGGGUGACCGGCCACACUGGGACUGAGACACGGCCCAGACUCCUACGGGAGGCAGCAGUGGGGAAUAUUGCACAAUGGGCGCAAGCCUGAUGCAGCGACGCCGCGUGAGGGAUGACGGCCUUCGGGUUGUAAACCUCUUUCAGCAGGGAAGAAGCCACAAGUGACGGUACCUGCAGAAGAAGCGCCGGCUAACUACGUGCCAGCAGCCGCGGUAAUACGUAGGGCGCAAGCGUUGUCCGGAAUUAUUGGGCGUAAAGAGCUCGUAGGCGGUUUGUCGCGUCUGCUGUGAAAGCCCGGGGCUCAACCCCGGGUCUGCAGUGGGUACGGGCAGACUAGAGUGCAGUAGGGGAGACUGGAAUUCCUGGUGUAGCGGUGAAAUGCGCAGAUAUCAGGAGGAACACCGAUGGCGAAGGCAGGUCUCUGGGCUGUUACUGACGCUGAGGAGCGAAAGCAUGGGGAGCGAACAGGAUUAGAUACCCUGGUAGUCCAUGCCGUAAACGUUGGGCACUAGGUGUGGGGGACAUUCCACGUUCUCCGCGCCGUAGCUAACGCAUUAAGUGCCCCGCCUGGGGAGUACGGCCGCAAGGCUAAAACUCAAAGGAAUUGACGGGGGCCCGCACAAGCGGCGGAGCAUGCGGAUUAAUUCGAUGCAACGCGAAGAACCUUACCAAGGCUUGACAUCCACCGGACCGCACUGGAGACAGUGCUUCCCUUCGGGGCUGGUGG
RNAcentral lists this ribosomal RNA (981 nucleotides) under Kocuria flava. RNAcentral describes it as "bacterial SSU rRNA". It matches the Rfam family "Bacterial small subunit ribosomal RNA", at positions 44 to 1033 of the family's 1533-position model. Lineage: Bacteria; Bacillati; Actinomycetota; Actinomycetes; Micrococcales; Micrococcaceae. The record is from RNAcentral.